UUGUGGCCACAUGACAUUGAAACAUCAGUUCUCAUACAAUCACUGAAGUUAAGGAAAAUCUAGCCAGGUCAGUACAUAGAUGGGUGACUGCUUGGGAAGACCAGGUGCUGUAAU
Molecule: non-coding RNA, 114 nt
Organism: Acanthosepion pharaonis
Lineage: Eukaryota; Metazoa; Mollusca; Cephalopoda; Sepiida; Sepiidae
Source: the annotation of a GenBank genome assembly